GCAAACUUGGUCAUUUAGAGGAAGUAAAAGUCGUAACAAGGUUUCCGUAGGUGAACCUGCGGAAGGAUCAUUAACAAAAUUAUCCAUUAUGGAUGGUUAAAAAUCCAUAUCCACCUUCGUGUGCACAUCAUUGACAUGUUUGCUUUGGCAGUUUGAAUUUUUGCGGGGAAAAAAAGUGUGUGUGUGUGGAGGGGGGGAGUUUUUGUUUCCCCCUCCCCUGCUUCUUUUUUUUACCGACGCUGCCAGAGUUUUUUCCAUCUUUUUCACCUUGACAAACUUUUGCUUUCCUUCUUGGAAGCAAGUCCUUGAAAAGAAAUUCAAAUAAAAUUCGAAUACAACUUUCAACAACGGAUCUCUUGGCUCUCGCAUCGAUGAAGAACGCAGC
Molecule: unclassified non-coding RNA, 385 nt
Filed under: uncultured fungus
Lineage: Eukaryota; Fungi
Description: partial contains small subunit ribosomal RNA, internal transcribed spacer 1, and 5.8S ribosomal RNA
Rfam family: Eukaryotic small subunit ribosomal RNA (bases 1-73)
Source: RNAcentral